GAGAUACUCUUGGGCAACAAUAUCCCCUGCUGUGGGCAGAUGACAAAAGGGACCUCCUGACAGGAAGGCAUUAGAAGGUGUGAGUUGUGUGCGCACACACAUGAAGAGUGCAAGCAUGUGUACAUGGGCUGGUAGACAAUCUCAUAUCAUCCUCAGCAGCAUCAUUCACCCCAUUGGAAACAGUUUCUCCUGGACCUGGAGCCUGCUCCACUCAGAUUAGACUGGUUACCAAUGAACCCUAGAGGCUGGCCGAUCUCUGCCUCCCCAUUGCUGGGGUUUCAAGCACACAUCACCCACCCCUAUCCAUAGCAGCAUUUUUUACAUGUAUUCUAGGGCCAUGCAACUCAUGUCCUCAUGCUUGUAAGGUGCACUUUCAGCAGAGAUGAGCAACCAUGAGCUUGGCAGUAUCCAUUAGAAGACUGGCUUCCCACUUCCAGUUACUCUACGUGAGCUUAUAACUGAGAUAAAGCUAAUCCUCCCAAGGCCUGUUAGUGAAAAAUCAACCCGGCAAGAAGCACAGCCUGGGAGUGCUGAACUCUUCCUACUAUGCGAGGUUCGAGAAAUGCUGCACAAGGAACAUUUGGACGAUGGCGGCUCUGGGAGGCAAUGGACCUUGACGCUCUUUCAAGAUAAGGGAGGCAGCUAAUUCAGCAAGAGUCUGUCUCCCAAAGAGCUGGAUGUGAUCUAUCUCUGCAGCCUCGCUGGAUGUCUCCAAGCACGAAAAACCUUAUCCAAUACAAGCUUCAAAGUCUGCAUGGUUGUUUUCUGGUUCCCAGCCUUCACUGACACCGCCUGCCUUGACUGAAGCCCACGGGCAAGCCUCAAGCUUUUGGAA
This is a long non-coding RNA of Mus musculus (house mouse), 835 nucleotides long. RefSeq annotates it as predicted gene, 40727. NCBI's taxonomy places the organism in Eukaryota, Metazoa, Chordata, Mammalia, Rodentia, Muridae. The transcript has 4 exons. The record is from RefSeq and is a predicted model, not a curated record.